RNAcentral lists this long non-coding RNA (430 nucleotides) under Felis catus (domestic cat). RNAcentral describes it as "lncRNA (ENSFCAG00000042028.2)". The record is from RNAcentral. Lineage: Eukaryota; Metazoa; Chordata; Mammalia; Carnivora; Felidae.
AGAAGAAAACAACCUGAAAUUUUGGAUUGUUCUCUGUACUGCAGAUCUGGAAGGAGCAUCAUGAACUUCCUAUCCAUCCUGGCUUUCUGCUAAAGAGAAAUGUAAAAAGUCGAGAAUUCUUCAGGAUGCUUUUUCUUUCAUAUGCUUUUCUAUUUCUCUCUUGGCAGCACUAGGCGCACAUGGGCCUGGCAGGGCCAGUGGACUGAUACCUCCUCUGAACCAGUGUCCUUCAUUUGGGGAAAGAGUUUAGCCACGUGGUGUAUUGCAGCAGCUGGAGAUUUAUUGUCACACAUAAACACAUGUGCUGAACCAUCUCCAUUCACUCAAUUUACGGAAGUAGCACUGAUUUACACAAGAAGCAAAAUGCAAAACUGGAAGAGCAACAGCUACUAGGACCACCACCAAGGUGAUGGUCAGGAUUGAAACAGAC